This 101-nucleotide transfer RNA is filed under the name Neolecta irregularis DAH-3. It matches the Rfam family "tRNA". From Rfam's summary of the family: Transfer RNA (tRNA) molecules are approximately 80 nucleotides in length. Their secondary structure includes four short double-helical elements and three loops (D, anti-codon, and T loops). Further hydrogen bonds mediate the characteristic L-shaped molecular structure. tRNAs have two regions of fundamental functional importance: the anti-codon, which is responsible for specific mRNA codon recognition, and the 3' end, to which the tRNAs corresponding amino acid is attached (by aminoacyl-tRNA synthetases). tRNAs cope with the degeneracy of the genetic code in two manners: having more than one tRNA (with a specific anti-codon) for a particular amino acid; and 'wobble' base-pairing, i.e. permitting non-standard base-pairing at the 3rd anti-codon position. Lineage: Eukaryota; Fungi; Ascomycota; Neolectomycetes; Neolectales; Neolectaceae. The record is from Rfam by way of RNAcentral.
UCUUCGGUAGUAUAGUGGUGAGUAUAUUCGCCUGUCAUCCAACUUGAAUCAUUACUCUGACAGAACCGCGAAUGACCCGGGUUCAAUUCCCGGCCGGAGAG